UUUAUUGAUUGGUGACAUGGCCAGUCUAUUUUAAUGAAGCCUAUUUCCCUGCAGUGUCUCUCCUAAGUAAGGCACAGCUUUGGACAUUCAUAGUUACUUGGGACAACAGUUUUAGCAGGGCUCUCUUUCUCCUUUCCUGAUCUCUCUGUUAAGCUGCCUGGCUCAUUUGAUAUUACAUCCAAAUUAUCAGCUGAUUGCUCUAUUGUUUUGGACAAUGCCCUGGGGCAUACCAAAAUGUGUCUGGAAUUGGUGAGUUCUUGGUCUUACUGACUUUAAGAAUGAAGUUGCGGACUUCUGCGGUGAGUGUUACAGCUUUUAAGGUGGCGCGUCUGGAGUUUGUUCUUUCUGAUGUUUGGAUGUGUUUGGAGUUUCUUCUUUCUGAUGGGUUUGUGGUCUUGCUGGCUUAGGAGUGAAGCUGCAGACUUUCGUGAUGCCAAUAUUUUACCUCUUGGGUACUUUCUGUGUAGAAGAUUCAUAACAAGAACAAUACUUAUUCUGUAAUUCUUUAUAUAAAGUAAGAAGAAAGCCCAAAGACAAAACCAGAGGCAACUGGCUGCUGCAUCACCCACCUAGUGGCAGUAGUGUGAGCUAUGGACAAAAGAUCUAAGUCUCCAGGACAAAGAGUUGUGCAGCUGCUCAUUUUCCUGUUGACUUCUGUCUAAGACUUGGAGAUGUUUGUAAGAUUGGGACCUACCUACAGAGCUCCAGAGGGAAGUGAGAAGGAUGUUCACUUGCUGGUGAGAGAAGGAGCUGGUUCCAUCCAUUAUGCAGUCCCCUGGGAGCGCUAAAUGCAACUUUAUCUCAAUGGGGAGUGGACGAUGAGCAGGACGUCGCUAGAGGGAAAGAUAGUCUGGCCCAGUACAAGACACUGGAGAUAAAAUGAGGUAUACAAUAUGAGUACCCGCCCUGCAGGAGGUGACAGUGUAUGUGCGUGGGGCAGCCACGGAUAAAAGGCAUCUAUGACACAGGCCUCACUUCCCGUUUCCUUUGGCAGCGCCCUUUUCCCGACCUAAGGGAGCAGACCUUCGCUGGUUGGCGUGAGGACUGGCGGGAGAGGUUUUGUGCCAGGAUCCGCACUGUCUGGGGUGAACGCUCCUCACCUUUGACCUGAUCCGCCAACUUCCCAUCCUCCACUUUUGGAGAGCGCGCCUGAUAGCUGCUGCCCACCUGGGCACUGACUUCCUCCUUCCGACGGGGUGCGGAGAAAGCACAAAGGAAGUAGACCAAGGAGACUGAAGGUGGUUAUGAAGACUGUGCAUCUCUGAGGACAUCUUAAACAAAGAUGACCCAAAC
Pan troglodytes (chimpanzee) is the source of this 1293-nucleotide long non-coding RNA. RefSeq lists it as uncharacterized. NCBI's taxonomy places the organism in Eukaryota, Metazoa, Chordata, Mammalia, Primates, Hominidae. The transcript has 7 exons. The record is from RefSeq and is a predicted model, not a curated record.